Coturnix japonica (Japanese quail) is the source of this 2832-nucleotide non-coding RNA. Lineage: Eukaryota; Metazoa; Chordata; Aves; Galliformes; Phasianidae. The record is from RefSeq and is a predicted model, not a curated record.
UCGCCUGGCAAACACUGAUCUGUUUGUUCGUGUUGUACCACUAAGAGUGGUUUGCCUAAGGUGAUUGCUCGUGCCUUGUGCAGUCACCAUCAUUCUGGUACCACAAACAGCCUACUCUUACCAGAUUGAGGUCAAAAUGUGCCAUUUGACUCUAAAGCAGGAUAUUUUGUCCAAGCAGCAGGUGAAACUAAUCUCCUGAUCAUUCCAUUGCAACUGCUGGCUGGUUAACAAGGCUCAAGCAGGUCUGUGUAGCAUUACCUCAUGUAUUUUGGGAGUCCCGCAGUCUGAAAAAAGACAUAGCCUACAAAUGCCAUUUUAGCCCUUCAUUUGUGGCACUCAUUAAUGAGGCAUAGGACAGAACAUAGUUGCAGACCUUGGGUUUUAUAGCUCAGCAGUCCUAGACUUUUUCCUCUUCUGAGCAUAGAUGCUGACAGUCAUCCUAAACCAUAAAGCGUGUUCAUGUUAAUAAAAUAAUAAUAAUAAUACAAAGCUAAGCAACAAUGAAUAAGCUGGAGUGAGGCUACUGUACUUUGCUUUCCCUUUCCUUUAACGAAUCCCAACCCUGGCCCACAAGUUUCAGCAGUUUUUCUCCCUUUGAAAAAUCCAGGCUCACUCUCCCCUUUCCUCCCAACCCCCACUAUCCCCCUUGGGUAUUGUCCUAUUGAUGUGACUUUAACUAACUACAUAAAGGUCAGUGUGCAUUACUGCUCUUGUGCAUAUAAAGCAAUGAGAGUAACAGCAGGGUCACAAUUAAUUGCAAAAUCUAUCCCAAGUUUCAACUUCUUUUUUUAAUAAAUUCAGUUUUUGUGAGCUUUGUUUUUUUACAUAUUUUGGGGGAUUACUGGUGUCAGUUUGAUGGUUUAGCUAAUCAAAUAACAUCAUGUUACUUCCCUUUUAGUCUCAUCUUUAUUGUACUCAUAUGAAUUAAAAUGGGAAUUUUAAUUAACUCCAAAGGCAUGAGAUUCUCAGUGACUCCUGAAUUUCCUAUUUAAUAAAUACUUGAAUGAGAUAUGGAUUCGUAUUUCUUGAAUGAGAACAGCACCUAUUCAGUUUUCAUUUUGGAAUGGAAUAUAUUAAGCUUAAAUUCUGAAUGAACUUGACAUCAGUUUAAUGUAGUAAUGUGCAGAAAGUUUACUGAAAAAUCUUUGAUUUUUCCCUGUUCAACCUGAACGUAUUGUACUGCUGUGCCACAUAAGCUAUGUGGCUUAUUUCUGGGGAGUUUAGGCUCUUUGAUAAGUGAUAACACAAAGUUAAACUUCUACUGUAUCUUAAGAGGCAAACAAACUCACUCUUAUAAAGUUGUUCACUUAAUUAUUUUUCCUAUAGCAGACUUUCAUAGCCAUUUUAUACUCUUCAGAGGAACAGACUUGGUUCAGCCAUGAAGGUAAAUGAGACUGAUGUGUUUUGUCACAGUUGAGAAUGAAGAAAAAUUAAACCUCUUUCCAUUGUAAAUGUCUGUCUAAUAAUGCAAAAACUUUCCUUGUGGUAAGCAUCUACAGUGGCCAUUUUUUUAGUAGUCAUAACAUUAGGAGUGCUGUUGCUAAGACUGAGUUACUCUUCACUCUCUGACAGACAGCAUGAGCUGCCAGGUAAUGUGCUUCAGAGUACAACAAAGCUUUGUGCCCCUUUGCGGUUUUAAUCAGUGUUAAACAAAUGAUUUCAUCCCAUCGUAUUUUUGAGUGUACUCAUUCUAAUAGGCAGAGUAUUUUCCUAAUUUAUCUGCUAAUCACUAGAAACACACUUGGCCUCAGUUCAGAGAUUGUUGUGUCUUAAAUUUCAAGCUGGGCUUAGUACAGAGCUAAGAAAUCCAGAGCGAUUCAGUGGUGAAAUGGGAGUGUUUUGCACACACUCAGGUGAGAUGAACCGGGACCUGUCCUUUGUACACUCAGCACUAUCUGUACUCACACUCACAAAGGCCAAUAUUUGAACUAGUUACUGCAACUUCCUCAUCAGAGUUUAAUUAUGAGAAGUUUGACUUAUGCAGUGACAGAGAAGUCAGGUUAUCACACAGUUGUAUUUAUCUUGUGGUGUUUUAGAGAGAUUUUUUGGUGAGCUGGUUGAAUAAUUCUCCAUGCUGUCUUCGCAGUGUCUCUACUGUAAGUGGAUUCAUGCACCUUCCCUGGAAUGAGAUAACGUCUUCUGAAAACGUUCCAUCUGGAAGGAAGCGGACGUGAGGGUGAAGGUUCUGCGCUGGUCAGGGUGAGAAUUGCCGGUAACAGGUGUGAGAAAGUCUUCUUCUAACAUGCGGAUUUGUCAUCCAGUAACAUCAGCCAUACCCUUUCAGGUUGGGCUGUGUGAAGACUUUGAAGAAAGCUGCUCCCUAUCCCCACCUUUUCUGCUACUCCAGGUUGGGAAUUCAAGAGGAAGUGGAGUUCUCAUUCCAUAGAAAUGGCUCAUUUUGUAUAGCACUUGACUUGGACCGCAUUGAAGGGCAAGGCUCAGGAGCAGCAGCAGCAGAUGCAGGAACAUUACUUAAUCAAUUGCUAAUCUGUCCUCAUUAACAAAGACGUCCUUCCAGAGUGGAUAUUAAGACAAAGAGCUUUUGGCAUUUGAGCAGACUUAAGUGAACAUCUGUGUUUCUGAUGUCAGAAGAUUCACUGUGUGAUAAUGGAAGUGAAGCCUCAAAGGAAAAUCCUUUCGCUGAUAAAAAGUAAGACUUCUUUUGUUUUAUUACUUUUAGAUACUUUUAAAGAACUAACUCUGGUUCAUGUUCUGUCUUUUACCUUUUUCUUUUUUAAGUUUGCUUUUGUUAUUUAUAUUACCUCACUCUUUCAUGUGCUUUGAAUUGGAAUGGAAAUUUCAAGGUCUAUCUGGAUGUACAAAUUGCAUAGG